This 470-nucleotide ribosomal RNA is filed under the name uncultured bacterium. RNAcentral's name for it is "bacterial SSU rRNA". It matches the Rfam family "Bacterial small subunit ribosomal RNA", at positions 60 to 524 of the family's 1533-position model. The record is from RNAcentral.
AGUCGAGCGGAGAUGAGGUGCUUGCACCUUAUCUUAGCGGCGGACGGGUGAGUAAUGCUUAGGAAUCUGCCUAUUAGUGGGGGACAACAUUUCGAAAGGAAUGCUAAUACCGCAUACGCCCUACGGGGGAAAGCAGGGGAUCUUCGGACCUUGCGCUAAUAGAUGAGCCUAAGUCGGAUUAGCUAGUUGGUGGGGUAAAGGCCUACCAAGGCGACGAUCUGUAGCGGGUCUGAGAGGAUGAUCCGCCACACUGGGACUGAGACACGGCCCAGACUCCUACGGGAGGCAGCAGUGGGGAAUAUUGGACAAUGGGGGGAACCCUGAUCCAGCCAUGCCGCGUGUGUGAAGAAGGCCUUUUGGUUGUAAAGCACUUUAAGCGAGGAGGAGGAGCUCUAGAUUAAUACUCUAGAUGCUUGGACGUUACUCGCAGAAUAAGCACCGGCUAACUCUGUGCCAGCAGCCGCGGUAAU